GAUCAUGGCUCAGAACGAACGCUGGCGGCAUGCCUAACACAUGCACGUCGAACGAGACCUUCGGGUCUAGUGGCGCACGGGUGCGUAACGCGUGGGAAUCUGCCCCUCGGUUCGGAAUAACACAGAGAAAUUUGUGCUAAUACCGGAUAAUGACGAAAGUCCAAAGAUUUAUCGCCGAGGGAUGAGCCCGCGUAAGAUUAGCUAGUUGGUGGGGUAAUGGCCUACCAAGGCGACGAUCUUUAGCUGGUCUGAGAGGAUGAUCAGCCACACUGGGACUGAGACACGGCCCAGACUCCUACGGGAGGCAGCAGUGGGGAAUAUUGGACAAUGGGCGAAAGCCUGAUCCAGCAAUGCCGCGUGAGUGAUGAAGGCCUUAGGGUUGUAAAGCUCUUUUACCAGGGAUGAUAAUGACAGUACCUGGAGAAUAAGCUCCGGCUAACUCCGUG
Molecule: ribosomal RNA, 446 nt
Filed under: uncultured bacterium
Lineage: Bacteria
Description: bacterial SSU rRNA
Rfam family: Bacterial small subunit ribosomal RNA
Source: RNAcentral